UUAGUCUUACCUUUCAUGAAACUCAACUGAUUUGAGGUAUCUGAUUAAGGCCACCUUAAAAAGUCUGGGAGAUUUCUAGAACAUUUUUAGUUUGAUGAGAUGGAAAGUUGACCAAAUGCUCCUACAGAAUGCCAGAUUGCAUUGCAGUAAAAAGACAAAUCAUUGAGACAGAUAGAUACCUCAUGACUAGUAUGAUUUUCCAAAUAAUCUUAUAUAAGUGAUUUCUAAUAAAUCAUACAGAUAGGACUUCACAGUGAAAUUGCAAAUGACUUUAAAAAACAAGCAUAAUGAUGACAGCCCAAACAUCUGUUGGUUUUGAGAGUAAAUCUUCCUAUUUUGGAACUGGCAUUUAAGCAUCAGGAGAUGGGGCUUGAUAGAACUUCAGAGGAUUACUAGAUAAACAACAGAACAUCUAACUCCUUGGCUCCUGUGUUAAUUAGAAGCAACUGACAUCAGGGCUGUGGUUCUCUCUCUAGUUUCACAUGUACUUAUAUGUACCUGGUUUGACCACAAACACACACAGAGUAGAUGCCAGAGGACAGAGAGCUUGGCACUCUAGGAUGUGUUAUUGGUGAUGAUUGCCCUCUGUGACUUAACUUCCUGCUUUUGACUCUCGACACUUGUCUGAACCUUCCUGUUGUGGCUGAUUUCCCAGGCACAUGAAUGUCUGACUCAAGCUCUUCAUUGGCUCCCUCCAACUCACUGUAUCAUCUUUGAACUCCACCAUUAGAGAUCUGGACUCAUACCUAGCUCUGCUCUCAGUUGGACAUUUGGUCUUUGUCUCCUCUGUCAAACCAGCCCUGCAUUCAGUAAUUUCCUAUUAUCUUUAUUUAUUCAGUCACUUUAAUUUCACAUUUAAAACUUUUCCCAUUUUCUUGUGGAAUUUCACAGAAUUCUUUCCAAAUGUGGUUUUUAAGACCUUAACUCUUCAUUAGUACUAUGUAAGAGCAGGCUAUGUGAGAAGCCAGUGUGAAAACCGUUGGAACAAAUAAGUACCAAUUGUGCAUGUGUGCUAAGUUGUGUCAGUCAUGUCCAAUUGUUUACAACCCUAUAGACUGUAGUCUGCCAAACUCCUCUGUCCAUGGGAUUCUCCAGGCAAGAAUACUAGAGUGGAGGAGCCAUGUCCUCCUCCUGGAAAUCCUCCUGAUCCAGGGAUCGAACCUGUGUCUCUUAUACCUUUUGCAUUGGAGUUGAGUUCUUUACUACUGGUGCCACCUGGUCAAUCAGUAAGCAUAUCCUGCUCCACAGGGCAAAGGGUCAAGGUUAGGGAGGCAGUGAAGUGAGGCAAGUUGACCUCUUCUGAAGGGAAGGACAGGAGUGACAUGGGCACAUAGGGGCCUUAUGUGACCAAGAAUCUUCCGGUCUCUGAAGUGAUGAGAUAUAGAAACUCCAAAGGUCCAGAGAUGUGAUAGGGCUGAAAUGAUAGGGCUUUUAUUUACUCUAGAGCAAACCAGGAACAGUACUAUUCUUUUAUUUGCACUUGAAAGGUAAAGUACAAGACAGACCCCACUGUUUUGAUGCCUGGUGAUGUCACUGAAAGUUCUAGGAUCAUCUCCAAGAAGAUUGAAGAUGAGCACAACAAUCGAGAAUCCUAAGGGGCUGGAUGGGAAACUGGAAAAGGUGUGGUUCUCAAUGUGUAGUCCCCAGACCUGAAGCAACACCUGGGACCUUUAGAAAUGCAAAUUCCUGGAUCCACCCCAGGCUCACUGAGUCAGGAACUUGCUAACAAAUUUAAUAGAAUUCAUUUAUUUUAUAAAUAAAUGAGAUUUAAUAAAAUCAUAUUUUAAUAGACUUCUAGUGUACACUAAAGUUUGAGUCUGACUAGUCAAAUUGCUUUGCUUUAUCAUUUUGAUAUAAAUUUUUAAAUUAUUCAAAUCAUUCAAGCAAAGUAGUAUAUACAAACUACAACAUUACAUAAAAUUUGGAAGACAGAAAUUUAGAUGUAAACUCAACUGAAGUAUGAACAUGUUUGUUCCUUUUCUUUAGUAAUUUUUUUUCCUCAAAUACACGUGUUUUCAUGGCAUUGUAAUCAGAAGACACACACAAUUAGGUAUGGUACUUUUGUCCCACUUAGCCUUGGAAUGAAAAUACUUAGUGUGCCACUUUUAUAUCAUCAUAAGUAGGGGUCCUCAACCUCUGGGCCGCAGACUGGUACCUCCUGUCUGAUCAGCGGCGACAUUAGAUUAGAAUAGUGCGCAAUAAAUGUCUAUGCUUGAAUCAUCCUGAAACCACCUCCUCCCACCCCAGUCCGUGAAAAGCUGUCUUCCAUGAAGCUGGUCCCUGGUGACAUAAAAGGUUGGGGACCGCUGGUCGUAAGAACUAUUUUUAGUAGUUCCACAAUACGUUAUCUAAAAGCUGUGCCAAAGCGUACCUCGCCAGGACCCUGAAGGUGAACUGGCACACAUGGAGGAGAAAGUGCUGGGGCAGACAAGGAGGCCUCCCCUUCUCUGUACUUCCUCCCGCCCCUCCCCCCAGAUCCCGCAGAAACAUCCAAACUAUGAGUGUUUCUGGAAAUAGUCAUAAGCAGAGAGGAAAGCGACGUCAGUCAGUAGCCUUGAGUUUUCCAGAGGUAUCCAGAAACACAGGUUUUCUCUUACCUAGAUCCUUUCCUGAAACUCUGAGGCUGCCAAGACGUUGCCACGCUACCUCGUGGCAACAUCCAAGAAUGACACCUUCUCUUGAGAAGUACGGCUGCCCCCUGACCUGAAUCCAGGUCCUAAGCCGGGUGCCUGAGUGUCAGCAGCUGGGGCACCUGUUGUCUACCUUAACAGAGACACCCCACUCUCCGCAGGACUAGCUGGGCUCUGACCCUGGGGCUAGAGUCUGGCCAGGAUCCUCAGCAUGUCUGGCAGGGGUUCAGAUGUUUUACCUGCUCCUGGCCAGCCCCCUGCCCUAGUGGGCUGGACUGCAAUCCCUGGCUGACAGGGCCCCACUCUAAAAUGAACACUCUUCUAAGAACCAGCAUACAGCUAUGAGAAAUGCUGUGCCUCAUGUCCUACGUGGACCUCAGGGAUGUCAGAGACACCCCAGGCUGAGGUCAAGGUGGUCACGUGCCCUUGGAGAAUGUAAGUGGAACUGCUCAGCCGUGUCUUGUGCACCAGGCCUAAAAUUGGGCAAGUCUCUGCCCCAGCCCUGCUUCUCUUUCCCCUCCCCCUGCUGACUCAUCUGCAGGGACACAGCAUGCCUCAUAGCAGUGUGGCAGCUGGUAUGGAAAACAGGGCAGUGGUGGGAAUCUUGUCCACCUGGCCCAGAAUUAAAUGUGGCUUCAAGUCCUGAGCCCCUUGUGAAAGGCGAGCAGGGUAGGAGAUGGCUUGUGGUCCUGUCUCCCCAAACUUCUCCUCUCUGGGUACCAUGCCCUCAGGAGGGCUCCAGACUGGCUCAGCCACAGGGCAGGAAGUCUGGCAGUGUGGUGGGAGGGGCUCUAGCAGAGGGCAGGCACGAUUUCACAAGAGUUCUAUGGACUGACUUUCUGCUGAUUCUACUUAUCAUGCACUCGCCUGGGUGAGUUCCAUCUCUGGAUCCCACCUCGGAUGUUACUCGUGAUUGACCUUUCCUGCAGUUGUGGAGGCCUGUUAGGAGUUUGCAGGCCCCACUGGGGAUGUAAUUCUGGGCUUCGCGAGCUUGUGGGGAUGGGUGGAAGUGGUCUCUCGAGGGACAGCAAAUCCAGGACAGAUCUAAUUGCUGCUAAUCAGGUUGUUUUUUAAUUUUUUUCUUUUACGUAUAAAUACUUAAAACACACACAUGCAUACAGAUUCCAUGGCCUUAAAAGUCUUUAUCGAUCUUUACAUAUACUUAUAAUCCCUAGUGAUAUACAAGUAUAUGAAUUUUUUUAUCGUAGUUGUGAUUCAAUAUAUAAUUUAUUUAGUCCUGUUUUCUCCCCCACUUUAUCGCAUAUAAAAUUUCCUCAUACUUGUUUUUAAAAGCUGCAAGACCAAUUGUUAUGUAACCUUUUGGAGGUCACCGAUCUCUUUGAUAAUUUGCCACUGUAAGUGCCUAAGUGUCAGCAGCAAGGCUUUUAUUUCAGAU
Long non-coding RNA from Bubalus bubalis (water buffalo), 4026 nucleotides. RefSeq lists it as uncharacterized. Lineage: Eukaryota; Metazoa; Chordata; Mammalia; Artiodactyla; Bovidae. The transcript is spliced from 3 exons. The record is from RefSeq and is a predicted model, not a curated record.